Molecule: long non-coding RNA, 426 nt
Filed under: Sinocyclocheilus grahami
Lineage: Eukaryota; Metazoa; Chordata; Actinopteri; Cypriniformes; Cyprinidae
Description: lncRNA (ENSSGRG00000010436.1)
Source: RNAcentral
GUUUUUCUGUAAGCUUUUAAUCUUUGGAGCUCCACUGAGAGAUGGUAUUAUGCAUGUUCUCAGAGUGCAUAUGGCUUUUGUAACAUGACUUUAAAUCCAACCAGCUAGAGUGAGCUCUUCUGUCCUCACAGGGAGAACUCCAAUGCAAUGAUGUGCGAUAAAGACGAAGAACUAGAGACACUACGCAAUGAGAUUGCAGUGCUUCGUGUGGAAAAUGCCAUGGCCAAGACGCUCCAGUCGGCCGUGACGUCUCUGGAGAGGGACAAAGCCCAGCUGCAGAGCCGAGUGAACAGCCUGGAGCAAAAGCUGGAGGGCCGGCAGACGGGGAACAGAGAGGAAGUCACUUCAGGUGAUGCUGCUAUAGACCAUCUGAGAGAAGAGAAAGAGUUUGCUGAGGGACAGGUAAAACUCUUCUGCUCCAUAUUU